AUCACCGAGAUAGGCAACUUGAAUAGGGGUAUAAAAUAUAGGGGGAAGAAGUGAGCACAGAGUUAAUUAAUAUGAGUCUUCCACAAGAGGACAAGUACUUGCUUUUCCAAGAAGCGAACUUAUUUUCAAGUUUUUGCACCAUCAUCAUCCAGACCGAUUUCGGUGGUUUACCACCACUAAGGGGCAUGCCUAAGUAUAUGAAGGGAGUACAUUCCUCCAGAUAAUUGAGUCAAGUAGCAACUUCUAUCCUUUCUUCACUCCAACGACCA
Molecule: long non-coding RNA, 269 nt
Filed under: Elaeis guineensis (African oil palm)
Lineage: Eukaryota; Viridiplantae; Streptophyta; Magnoliopsida; Arecales; Arecaceae
Description: long non-coding RNA (EGUI_LNC018566)
Source: RNAcentral